GUGAACGCUGGCGGUAGGCCUAACACAUGCAAGUCGAACGGCAGCACAGUAAGAGCUUGCUCUUACGGGUGGCGAGUGGCGGACGGGUGAGGAAUACAUCGGAAUCUACUUUUUCGUGGGGGAUAACGUAGGGAAACUUACGCUAAUACCGCAUACGACCUACGGGUGAAAGCAGGGGAUCUUCGGACCUUGCGCGAUUGAAUGAGCCGAUGUCGGAUUAGCUAGUUGGCGGGGUAAAGGCCCACCAAGGCGACGAUCCGUAGCUGGUCUGAGAGGAUGAUCAGCCACACUGGAACUGAGACACGGUCCAGACUCCUACGGGAGGCAGCAGUGGGGAAUAUUGGACAAUGGGCGCAAGCCUGAUCCAGCCAUACCGCGUGGGUGAAGAAGGCCUUCGAGUUGUAAAGCCCUUUUGUUGGGAAAGAAAAGCAGCAGGUUAAUACCCCGCUGUUCUGACGGUACCCAAAGAAUAAGCACCGGCUAACUUCGUG
Molecule: ribosomal RNA, 491 nt
Filed under: uncultured bacterium
Lineage: Bacteria
Description: partial 16S ribosomal RNA
Rfam family: Bacterial small subunit ribosomal RNA
Source: RNAcentral